AACUCUCAACCACACAAGUUGUGUGAACGACUUGGAGUGGCUUGGAUUUGGGAUUUCUUUGCUGGCUUUUCAAGUCGGCUGUCCUGAAAUACAUUAGCAAGGCUUCAGUUGCCAAUACUAUUGGUGUGAUAUGCAUCUACGCCAUUGGAAAGGCUUCACGGCUUAGCUUCUAACCGUCUUUUGACAAGAUUGACA
RNAcentral lists this unclassified non-coding RNA (195 nucleotides) under uncultured Clitopilus. RNAcentral's name for it is "sequence contains ITS2". The record is from RNAcentral. Lineage: Eukaryota; Fungi; Basidiomycota; Agaricomycetes; Agaricales; Entolomataceae.